This 532-nucleotide ribosomal RNA is filed under the name Enterococcus hirae. RNAcentral describes it as "bacterial SSU rRNA". It matches the Rfam family "Bacterial small subunit ribosomal RNA", at positions 17 to 519 of the family's 1533-position model. Lineage: Bacteria; Bacillati; Bacillota; Bacilli; Lactobacillales; Enterococcaceae. The record is from RNAcentral.
UCCUGGCUNAGGACGAACGCUGGCGGCGUGCCUAAUACAUGCAAGUCGAACGCUUCUUUUUCCACCGGAGCUUGCUCCACCGGAAAAAGAGGAGUGGCGAACGGGUGAGUAACACGUGGGUAACCUGCCCAUCAGAAGGGGAUAACACUUGGAAACAGGUGCUAAUACCGUAUAACAAUCGAAACCGCAUGGUUUUGAUUUGAAAGGCGCUUUCGGGUGUCGCUGAUGGAUGGACCCGCGGUGCAUUAGCUAGUUGGUGAGGUAACGGCUCACCAAGGCGACGAUGCAUAGCCGACCUGAGAGGGUGAUCGGCCACAUUGGGACUGAGACACGGCCCAAACUCCUACGGGAGGCAGCAGUAGGGAAUCUUCGGCAAUGGACGAAAGUCUGACCGAGCAACGCCGCGUGAGUGAAGAAGGUUUUCGGAUCGUAAAACUCUGUUGUUAGAGAAGAACAAGGAUGAGAGUAACUGUUCAUCCCUUGACGGUAUCUAACCAGAAAGCCACGGCUAACUACGUGCCAGCAGCCCGCG